GUGCGGCUUAAUUUGACUCAACACGGGGAAACUCACCAGGUCCAGACACGACAAGGAUUGACAGAUUGAUGGCUCUUUUUUGAUUUCGUGGUUGGUGGUGCAUGGCCGUUCUUAGUUGGUGGAGUGAUUUGUCUGGUUAAUUCCGAUAACGAACGAGACCUUACCCUGCUAAAUAGCCCGGCCGACUUUGGUUGGUCGCUGGCUUCUUAGAGGGACUAUCGACGUCUAGUCGAUGGAAGUUUGAGGCAAUAACAGGUCUGUGAUGCCCUUAGAUGUUCUGGGCCGCACGCGCGCUACACUGACCGAACCAGCGAGUUUUUUUCCUUGGCCGGAAGGCCUGGGUAAUCUUGUGAAAUUCGGUCGUGAUGGGGAUAGAGCAUUGCAAUUAUUGCUCUUCAACGAGGAAUACCUAGUAAGCGUAAGUCAUCAGCUCGCGUUGAAUUCGUCCCUGCCCUUUGUACACACCGCCCGUCGCUAUUACCGAUUGAAUGG
RNAcentral lists this ribosomal RNA (492 nucleotides) under uncultured eukaryote. Its description in RNAcentral is "SSU rRNA". It matches the Rfam family "Eukaryotic small subunit ribosomal RNA", at positions 1183 to 1696 of the family's 1831-position model. The record is from RNAcentral.